UGGGGAAUAUUGCGCAAUGGGCGAAAGCCUGACGCAGCGACGCCGCGUGAGGGAUGAAGGUUUUCGGAUCGUAAACCUCUGUCAGAAGGGAAGAAACCGCACUGUGCUAAUCAGCAGUGCCUUGACGGUACCUUCAAAGGAAGCACCGGCUAACUCCGUGCCAGCAGCCGCGGUAAUACGGAGGGUGCAAGCGUUAAUCGGAAUUACUGGGCGUAAAGCGCACGUAGGCUGCUUUGUAAGUCAGGGGUGAAAUCCCACGGCUCAACCGUGGCACUGCCUUUGAUACUGCUUAGCUUGAAUCCGGGAGAGGGUGGCGGAAUUCCAGGUGUAGGAGUGAAAUCCGUAGAUAUCUGGAGGAACAUCAGUGGCGAAGGCGGCCACCUGGACCGGUAUUGACGCUGAGGUGCGAAAGCGUGGGGAGCAAACAGG
RNAcentral lists this ribosomal RNA (429 nucleotides) under Fusobacteriota bacterium. Its description in RNAcentral is "Fusobacteria bacterium partial 16S ribosomal RNA". It matches the Rfam family "Bacterial small subunit ribosomal RNA", at positions 355 to 776 of the family's 1533-position model. The record is from RNAcentral. Lineage: Bacteria; Fusobacteriati; Fusobacteriota.